This 451-nucleotide ribosomal RNA is filed under the name uncultured bacterium. Its description in RNAcentral is "partial 16S ribosomal RNA". It matches the Rfam family "Bacterial small subunit ribosomal RNA", at positions 29 to 523 of the family's 1533-position model. The record is from RNAcentral.
AGCGAACGCUGGCGGCAGGCCUAAUACAUGCAAGUCGAGCGGGCGUAGCAAUACGUCAGCGGCAGACGGGAGAGUAACACGUGGGAACGUGCACUUUGGUUCGGAAUAACUCAGGGAAACUUGAGCUAAUACCGGAUAAGCCCUUCGGGGGAAAGAGUUAUUGCCAUUGGAGCGGCCCGCGUCGGAUUAGCUAGGUGGUGAGGUAAUGGCUCACCAAGGCGACGAUCCGUAGCUGGUCUGAGAGGAUGACCAGCCUCACUGGGACUGAGACACGGCCCAGACUCCUACGGGAGGCAGCAGUGGGGAAUAUUGGACAAUGGGCGCAAGCCUGAUCCAGCCAUGCCGCGUGGAUGAUGAAGGCCCUAGGGUUGUAAAGUCCUUUUAACGGGGAAGAUAAUGACGGUACCCGUAGAAUAAGCCCCGGCUAACUUCGUGCCAGCAGCCGCGGUAA